This 1476-nucleotide ribosomal RNA is filed under the name Tessaracoccus sp. ChroAq 3. RNAcentral describes it as "bacterial SSU rRNA". It matches the Rfam family "Bacterial small subunit ribosomal RNA". The record is from RNAcentral. Lineage: Bacteria; Bacillati; Actinomycetota; Actinomycetes; Propionibacteriales; Propionibacteriaceae.
AGAGACGCUGGCGGCGUGCUUAACCAUGCAAGUCGAACGGUAAGGCCCCUUCGGGGGUACACGAGUGGCGAACGGGUGAGUAACACGUGAGUAACCUGCCCUUGACUCUGGGAUAACAGCUGGAAACAGCUGCUAAUACCGGAUACGAACCUCUUAGGCAUCUUCGAGGUUGGAAAGUUCCGGCGGUCAAGGAUGGACUCGCGGCCUAUCAGCUUGUUGGUGAGGUAACGGCUCACCAAGGCGACGACGGGUAGCCGGCCUGAGAGGGCGACCGGCCACAUUGGGACUGAGAUACGGCCCAAACUCCUACGGGAGGCAGCAGUGGGGAAUAUUGCACAAUGGGCGAAAGCCUGAUGCAGCAACGCCGCGUGCGGGAAGACGGCCUUCGGGUUGUAAACCGCUUUCAGUAGGGACGAAGCUAACGUGACGGUACCUACAGAAGAAGCACCGGCUAACUACGUGCCAGCUGCCGCGGUGAUACGUAGGGUGCGAGCGUUGUCCGGAAUUAUUGGGCGUAAAGAGCUUGUAAGCGGUUUGUCACGUCGGGAGUGAAAACUCCGGGCUUAACCCCCAGCCUGCUUCCGAUACGGGGCUGACUUGAGGAAGGUAGGGGGAGAAUGGAAUUCCUGGUGAAGCGGUGGAAUGCGUAGAUAUCAGGAGGAACACCAGUGGCGAAGGGCGGUUCUCUGACCUUUCCUGACGCUGAGAAGCGAAAGCGUGGGGAGCAAACAGGCUUAGAUACCCUGGUAGUCCACGCCGUAAACGGUGGGUACUAGGUGUGGGGAACAUUCCACGUUCUCCGUGCCGCAGCUAACGCAUUAAGUACCCCGCCUGGGGAGUACGGCCGCAAGGCUAAAACUCAAAGGAAUUGACGGGGCCCCGCACAAGCGGCGGAGCAUGCGGAUUAAUUCGAUGCAACGCGAAGAACCUUACCUGGGUUUGACAUAUACCGGAAACAUCUAGAGAUAGGUGCCCCUUUUUGGUCGGUAUACAGGUGGUGCAUGGCUGUCGUCAGCUCGUGUCGUGAGAUGUUGGGUUAAGUCCCGCAACGAGCGCAACCCUCGUCCUAUGUUGCCAGCGGAUAAUGCCGGGGACUCAUAGGAGACCGCCGGGGUCAACUCGGAGGAAGGUGGGGAUGACGUCAAGUCAUCAUGCCCCUUAUGUCCAGGGCUUCACGCAUGCUACAAUGGCCGGUACAAAGAGCUGCGAACCUGCAAGGGUGAGCGAAUCUCAAAAAGCCGGUCUCAGUUCGGAUUGGGGUCUGCAACUCGACCCCAUGAAGUCGGAGUCGCUAGUAAUCGCAGAUCAGCAACGCUGCGGUGAAUACGUUCCCGGGGCUUGUACACACCGCCCGUCAAGUCAUGAAAGUCGGUAACACCCGAAGCCAGUGGCCUAACCCUUUGGGAGGGAGCUGUCGAAGGUGGGACCGGUAAUUAGGACUAAGUCGUAACAAGGUAGCCGUACCGGAAGGUACUC